CGACGGCUAUGCUUCCUCAGCCCGAACGGCAUCGAAGUAACGACUGGAUAAAACAAGCUUCUUAUCCGAAAUUCACG
This 77-nucleotide non-coding RNA is filed under the name Legionella shakespearei DSM 23087. Its description in RNAcentral is "Legionella RNA 69". It matches the Rfam family "Legionella RNA 69". The record is from Rfam by way of RNAcentral. Lineage: Bacteria; Pseudomonadati; Pseudomonadota; Gammaproteobacteria; Legionellales; Legionellaceae.